Ictidomys tridecemlineatus (thirteen-lined ground squirrel) is the source of this 69-nucleotide non-coding RNA. The record is from Rfam. NCBI's taxonomy places the organism in Eukaryota, Metazoa, Chordata, Mammalia, Rodentia, Sciuridae.
GGGGUUGUGGCUCAGUGGUAGAGCGCUUGCCUAGCAUGCACGAGGCAUUGGGUUCAAUCCUCAGCACCA